This 404-nucleotide ribosomal RNA is filed under the name Actinomycetes bacterium. Its description in RNAcentral is "Actinobacteria bacterium partial 16S ribosomal RNA". It matches the Rfam family "Bacterial small subunit ribosomal RNA", at positions 355 to 776 of the family's 1533-position model. Lineage: Bacteria; Bacillati; Actinomycetota; Actinomycetes. The record is from RNAcentral.
UGGGGAAUAUUGGACAAUGGGCGCAAGCCUGAUCCAGCCAUGCCGCGUGAGUGAUGAAGGCCCUAGGGUUGUAAAGCUCUUUCACCGGUGAAGAUAAUGACGGUAACCGGAGAAGAAGCCCCGGCUAACUUCGUGCCAGCAGCCGCGGUAAUACGAAGGGGGCUAGCGUUGUUCGGAUUUACUGGGCGUAAAGCGCACGUAGGCGGACUAUUAAGUCAGGGGUGAAAUCCCGGGGCUCAACCCCGGAACUGCCUUUGAUACUGGUAGUCUUGAGUUCGAGAGAGGUGAGUGGAAUUCCGAGUGUAGAGGUGAAAUUCGUAGAUAUUCGGAGGAACACCAGUGGCGAAGGCGGCUCACUGGCUCGAUACUGACGCUGAGGUGCGAAAGCGAGGGGAGCAAACAGG